This 264-nucleotide long non-coding RNA is filed under the name Homo sapiens (human). RNAcentral describes it as "HSALNT0256871". The record is from RNAcentral. Lineage: Eukaryota; Metazoa; Chordata; Mammalia; Primates; Hominidae.
GUGAAAGAGGCCGUGGAGCAGUUUGAAUCGCAAGGGUUGAUCUGAGCAACAUUGUAAAGACGGCACCUAAAGUCUCUGCAGACGGAUCCCAGGAGCCCACACAUGACAUCCUGCAGUGCUCAGUGACCUCCAGGAGUCUGUGGCCAGCUCUCGCCCCCAGGAGGUGUCAGCAUACCUCACCCGCUUCUGCGACCAGUGCAAACAGGACAAGGCCUGCCGCUUCCUCGCGGCCCAGAAGGGGGCCUACCCCAUCAUCUUCACUGC